ACGAGAACGAGGGCGUCGUGCCUUUAUAAGACUGCGUUAAUGGCUUUAAUGUUUCCGUGGAGUUAUCCCUUCCGUUGUUGUUUAUUGAUCGUUAAACAUGGCUACAUUUGCAAAGGUAGUUCUGUGUGUCCUCAUUGCUUGUGUCUGUAAUGCAUUCUGUUUUCCUAUGAGAGACCGCCAAAGUGAUGUGGUUGUCACCACAACACCCGAUCCCCACAACCAAACCACAUCUGCCCAUACUGAAGCUGCCAGUGAAGACGCUGUGGACCGCCAAAGUGAUGUGGUUGUCACAACACCCGAUCCCCACAACCAGACUACAUCUGAAGCUGGUGAUGGAGCAAGUGAAGAUGCUGUGGCUACCACCCCAGCACCAAAUCCCCCAAACCAAACUACAUCAGACCACUAAGGACAUCAGUGCAUGUCUGUUUUGAUGGAACACUUUGAAUGUUUGCGCCCCCCUUUUGACAGUGUCGCUUUCUAUUUGUGUGUCCUCAUAAGAUGAUUCAAGUGAGGGUGCUGUGGCUGCCACCCAAACUCCUGAAGUCCAGACUAAAUCUGCCCAAACUGGAACUACUGUAUCCCAUACCACUGACGUCUGAUUCGACUGCUCCUCUGGUAACAAUGACCCGAGUCACUGUCUGGACUUUUUGCCUCUACAUGUUGACUGCAAUAAAGGACAGAUUUGUUUUUUGAAUCAAGUGUUGUCUUGCCUUUUUCAAAUUGAGACCUUGUCCUGUUUUGGUGGUGGAGAUGACUAUAAAGCCUCUUUCCUAACGUAUUUCCUGUAGUGGUUUUACUAUAUGCUUCAUGCAA
Molecule: long non-coding RNA, 813 nt
Organism: Clupea harengus (Atlantic herring)
Lineage: Eukaryota; Metazoa; Chordata; Actinopteri; Clupeiformes; Clupeidae
Source: Ensembl